UAAGGACGAAUCGGCAACAAGAGUCCUAGAAGAAAAGAAUACACAGGAAAGGGAAUUGGAGGAGAAGAAGAACUCCCGCUUGCGCAGGAUACCUUACGUGAGAGGGAAACCAAUUCCCUCCCCUUACACGUCUCUUUUCUUUGUUUUCGUUUUCUUUUUAGAUUCAACUUGCUUCCAUGAAGAAUUCUACAAGGUUUGGUAUUUAGAUUUCAAAGAAAAGAAGAAUUCAACAAGAAGAGAAGGACUCAAGUCCCAACAGGAAUCGGCCAAGAAAGAUCUCUCCUAGCCGAAUUCCUCUUCACAUCAAUUCCAAAACCACAAAAUUCAAGCAUCUCCAACAAAAAUUCUGCAACAAAACCCAAUUAAUUAAUAAAGAUCCAAGCCGAGAAGAAUUAAACCACUCAAGUUCGAUUGGGAUUCAUCCUGCCAUCCAAGAGAGAAGACUUUACGUUUUAAUUAAAGUUUGCUUAGUUUAUUAUUAUUUUAAUAUAAUCGUAGGUAGAGUUGUGUUAAGUGCUUAACUAGGAUUUUAAUUACCAUUUUCUAGCAGGAUUCAUAAAGUGAAUGCUUAUAUAAAGGUCACCACCCUUCAGUUGUACGCACUCAAAUUCAGAUCAAUAAAAAUAUUCAGAUUAGCUUUUUUGUUAUUUGUAAGUGUUUAUCGAGAAGCUCUUCAACCGUCUUAUUGAGGUAAGAAUUUGAUCUACUUAUUGAGGUAAACUCAUGGCAAUUUUUUAAUUCUAAUUUCUUAAUUUUCAGUUACUUUAGUUCGUCUUCACAUAGUUGAUUACGGGUUAAGUAGGACGAAUUUAUUUAGAAAUUUAAGUUUCUGCAUGCUGAUAUUAUAUAUAUGGAGUUUUAAAUUGUAUUGUUGAUCCCGGGUUCUACAUCACUAUCUUUAGAUGGUUUGGGGUUAUGGUCCUCGGUGGAGAUGAAUAUGGCUUUAUAGGAUAAGUAGUUGUUGAAGUUCAUGA
RNAcentral lists this long non-coding RNA (974 nucleotides) under Carica papaya (papaya). RNAcentral describes it as "long non-coding RNA (CPAP_LNC000379)". The record is from RNAcentral. Lineage: Eukaryota; Viridiplantae; Streptophyta; Magnoliopsida; Brassicales; Caricaceae.